UAUGUUUGAGUUGUGUUUUCAGGACAAGAAGCAUAUGGCCUUGAGGAGUUUGAUUCAAUUGCUCAUUUGGAUUGAUAUUUGAUUGAUGUUGAUUAACAUUAAGCUGUUUUGUAGGUGGAUUAGCUCCUUUGAGUUGAGCUUGUGAUUUGCUUGAUGCAUUGCUUGUUGUCUGUUUGUACAGUUAACUGUUGACUUUUGUAUUGUCUGUUUGGCUUU
RNAcentral lists this long non-coding RNA (216 nucleotides) under Lathyrus oleraceus (garden pea). RNAcentral's name for it is "Pisum sativum (pea) long non-coding RNA (PSAT_LNC016186)". Lineage: Eukaryota; Viridiplantae; Streptophyta; Magnoliopsida; Fabales; Fabaceae. The record is from RNAcentral.